This 3174-nucleotide long non-coding RNA is filed under the name Glycine max (soybean). RNAcentral describes it as "long non-coding RNA (GMAX_LNC004541)". Lineage: Eukaryota; Viridiplantae; Streptophyta; Magnoliopsida; Fabales; Fabaceae. The record is from RNAcentral.
UGCUUCAGAGUAAACAAAGAGAGAGGGAUCACACUUGCUGGAGGAAAAUUUUAAAUGAAGAGUUGCUUUGAGCUUGUCAAACCAAGCUCUGGGGGCUUGUUUUAAGCCAUUAAUGGCUUUGUGAAGUCUUCACACAAGCUGUUUGUUGGAGGACUCAGCCUGGAGGUUGAGUCAUGAAUUCCUCUUGAAGAAUUCCAUUGAGGAAAGCAUUGUUGACAUCCAGCUGCUGUAGUGGUCAGUUAUAUGUGAGAGUGAGAGAAUUAACCUGAUUGUGACAGGUCUAAUGGCAGGGGAAAAGGUUUCAUUGUAGUCAUAUCCUAGCUGUUGGUAAAAGCCCUUGGCAACGAGCCUGGUUUUGUACUUAUUUACUUGCAGCCAAUGCCUUUCCUGGAAGGGGGUCCAGGGGCAAGUCAACUAAGAUCCAAGUGCCAUUUCUGAGCAGUGCAUCAUACUCGACCUUCAUUGCUGCAAGCCAAGUUAGGUUUGAAAGGGCAGAUUUGAUGGUUUUGGGUUCAAGGUGAGUGAGAAGUAAUGUUGGAUUAAGCCUUGGCUUAACAAUUCCAGACUUGGCACAGGUACACAUUGAGUGAACAUUGUCAAGUAUCAACUAUAAGUAGGAGCAAUAACAGUGUUAAAUAUAUAUAUUGUAGAGAGCUGUAUUGUGUAGACAGCUGUGUAGGUAAAAGGCUGUUUUGAGUGUGUGUGUGAGGUUGAGUGUGUAUUAAGUUUUAUGUGUUGUCAUGUUGAGUGUGAGGGAAGCUGAGUAUCUAAUCCUUAUCCAAAGGCAGCUUAUCUCCUCUCUCUCUUUCUGUUUUAUAUAUAAAUAUACAAGCAGUGGCUGAGAAAUAAAAAAAAUAAAAAGAUAGCUCAGCACUUCUCUAUUGUAUUGUGUAACUCAAAUUUCUCAGCAAUGUAGUCACUUCAUUUUCAACAUGGUAUCAGAGCAGGAACGAUCCCGUUCUGACCUGCUCUGGCCGCCAGCCGUCGUCCUCCGUCCGCUGUCCGCCGCCGCCGCUGCCACCUCCGGCCGCUGUCUGCCGUCGUCAAAUUUUCCGGCGAAACCAGGGUUGUGUGCGCCUCGAGGUGCGCGACCCACCCCUGCAAGUCACGUGAGCAGCAGCGCCACCACGCGCCACCACAGCAACGCAUCAUUUCCAGCGCGUGAAGCCCAUGUGCCGCCUUCCAACCGUCGGAAUGUCACCGGACCACCUCCAGUCACUUCGUCGGCCAGUCCUGGGUACAGUCCAGCCCUUGUUUUUUUAAUUUUGACCACCUGGAACGUGUCAGCCUCGUGUUCCCUCCUUUUUUCUCUAUUAGGGUUUCGUCUCUUUGGUCAGAAAUGACUUCUUCCGGCCCUGUGUACCCAGUUUUAACAGCUUUGUAGUCUCCUUCUGGGCACAUUUCAGUCCCUGUUUUCGGUAUUGAUAGCUUGAUAGUUCCAGCCCUUGUGUUCCCUUCUCCUUCUCCAUUAGGGCUUCGUCUUUUGACCAGAAAUGGCUACUUCCGGUCCUGUGUUUUCCUUCUCUGCUGUCAGCCACUGUCUCUACUGGGCAGGUGUGAUCAUCUUCCGCUGUUUUUGCUGCUUCUCGUCGUCUACCAUUGUCAGUCACCAUCGUUGUCUGCUCAAACCUCCUCUUUUGGCCCUUCCUCUUUGUCUUCAGAACUGUGGCAUGUUCUGGUCCUGUUUAAGGCUUCUUUUAGUUUGUCUCUCUUAACCCUUUGUUGUGCAGCUCCAUUGUCUCAUGUCCUUCUAUUUAUCUGUUGUGUGGUCUGCUGAUUAAUAUAGCUGUCCCCAGGGUUCGAUCUGGUCAAGAACCCUACUUUAGGUCAUUUGUUGAUCCUGUUGUCUAGCAACUUCUUGCUUGUCUUUGUCCUUGAAGUAAUUGUUGUCCUUGGGGUUCAAUCUGGUCACGAACCCUACUUUAGGUCAUUUGUUGAUCCUGUUGUCCAGCAACUUCUUCCUUGUCUCUGUCCUUGAAGUAAUUGCUGUCCUUGGGGUUCAAUCUAGUCAAGAACCUCUACUAUUAAAAAAAAAAGUCAUUAAGUUUCUAUCCAUGGUGGUUAAGCAUUGAUGUCAAGCUUCUACCAUGGAUGAUUAAACAUUGUUGUGUUGCUUCUUCCUUUAUAGUGGUUAAGCAUUCAAAAAUUGUGUUUUUCUUCUGUCUUGAGUGGUUAAGCACCAUGUUUAGCUUCUGCUCUUGAUGGUUAAGCUUUGGUUUGCUUCUACCUUUUAGGUGGUUAAGUGUGUUUGCUUCUGUUAAGUGGUUAAGCAUUGUGUUGUGGCUUCUACUUAAUGGUUCAACAUAUUCCAAUUGUCUUUGAAUGUUUUUCAGUCAUUUUCAAUCUGCUGCCAAUGUGUUUCCGGCAUGUUUCAUUGUCUAUUUUUCUACUUGUAUUGUUCAUCCCAAGCUGGAAGUGUUGACUCCACCUUCCAUCUCGUGAGGGGGAGUGUGUUGUCUCCUAAUCAGUACUAAUCACUUUGAAGUCCAGCCCUGCAGCAAGUGCAGCUUUUGUUUCUGGGAAUUUGUUGUUUCCUUCUUCAAGUCCUGCCACAUCUUUUGAACUUGGCACCCCUGCUUCCUCUUCGGUGGUCUACUCUGUUAGCUCCAAUGUGGUCCAAGUUCUACUUUAGUUGGCAGCCCACUAAGUCUGCAUUUGGUUCCACAUUUAGUACAUCAUCGUCAUCCACUGUGUUUGUUACUUCUGCCAGUUCUCCAGUGCAUCAACUCCUCAAUUUUCAUUUACUCCGGCAGCAGCAGCCUCUACCUCCACACAAGCCAGCAACCUGCCCCAGUUCAAUCAAAUUUUGUAUUUGGGAGCAUCAACUCCAUCAGGAGGCAGUCCUUUCCAGUUUGGUGGUGCAGCUUGAGAUGCUUCAGUUCAUGUUCCAAGCUUGGAGCAUUUAAUUUAUAUGCUCCAGCUUGAGGGGGAGUGUUAAAUAUAUAUAUUGUAGAGAGCUGUAUUGUGUAGACAGCUGUGUAGGUAAAAGGCUGUUUUGAGUGUGUGUGAGGUUGAGUGUGUAUUAAGUUUUAUGUGUUGUCAUGUUGAGUGUGAGGGAAGCUGAGUAUCUAAUCCUUAUCCAAAGGCAGCUUAUCUCCUCUCUCUCUUUCUGUUUUAUAUAUAAAUAUACAAGCAGUGGCUGAGAAAUAAAAAAAAUAAAAAGAUAGCUCAGCA